This 497-nucleotide ribosomal RNA is filed under the name uncultured bacterium. RNAcentral describes it as "partial 16S ribosomal RNA". It matches the Rfam family "Bacterial small subunit ribosomal RNA", at positions 28 to 507 of the family's 1533-position model. The record is from RNAcentral.
GACGAACGCUGGCGGCGUGCCUAAUACAUGCAAGUAGAACGCUGAAGCUUUGUGCUUGUACCGAGCGGGUGAGUUGCGCACGGGUGAGUAAAGCGUAUGUAACCCCCCUGGUAGCGGGGGAUAACUAUUGGAAACGGUAGCUAAUACCGCAUAAGAGUAGAUUUUGUAUGACAUUUUCUUAAAAGGUGCCAUUUCAUCAUUACCAGAUGGACCUGCGUUGUAUUAGCUAGUUGGUGAGGUAACGGCUCACCAAGGCAACGAUACAUAGCCGACCUGAGAGGGUGAUCGGCCACACUGGGACUGAGACACGGCCCAGACUCCUACGGGAGGCAGCAGUAGGGAAUCUUCGGCAAUGGACGGAAGUCUGACCGAGCAACGCCGCGGGAGUGAAGAAGGUUUUCGGAUCGUAAAGCUCUGUUGUAAGAGAAGAACGAGUGUGAGAGUGGAAAGUUCACACUGUGACGGUAUCUUACCAGAAAGAGACGGCUAACUACGUG